AUUAACGCUGGCAGAGUGCAUAACCCCCCCACGUCGAGCGAGACUAGUAGCAAUAUUAGUCUAGCGGCAGACGAGUGAGUAACACGUAAACAAUCUACCCUUGAAUGGUGAAUAACCAGCCGAAAGGCCGGCUAAUACACCGUACUCUCCCUUGAAGGCAUCUUCGAGGGAGGAGAGAUCCGCAAGGAUCGUUCUUGGAGGAGUUUGCGGCCCAUCAGCUAGUUGGCGGUGUAAUAGACCACCAAGGCUACGACGGGUACCCGGCCUGAAAGGGCGGACGGGCACGAUGGCACUGAGACACGGGCCAUACUCCUACGGGAGGCAGCAGUGGGGAAUUUUGGACAAUGGGCGAAAGCCUGAUCCAGCAACUCUGCGUGAGGGACGAAGGUCUUCGGAUCGUAAACCUCUUUUACAUGGGAAGAAUACCAGCAAUGGUUCGACGGUACCAUGUGAAUAAGCCACGGCUAACUAUGUG
Molecule: ribosomal RNA, 475 nt
Filed under: uncultured bacterium
Lineage: Bacteria
Description: bacterial SSU rRNA
Rfam family: Bacterial small subunit ribosomal RNA
Source: RNAcentral